RNAcentral lists this ribosomal RNA (358 nucleotides) under uncultured bacterium. RNAcentral's name for it is "bacterial SSU rRNA". It matches the Rfam family "Bacterial small subunit ribosomal RNA", at positions 28 to 402 of the family's 1533-position model. The record is from RNAcentral.
GAUGAACGCUGGCGGCGUGCCUAACACAUGCAAGUCGAACGCUCGCAAGAGAGUGGCGCACGGGUGAGUAAUACGUAGCUAAUCUGCCCUCAAGACAAGGAUAACUGUAGGAAACUACUGCUAAUACUUGAUAAGCUUACGGACUGUAGAGGUCUAUAAGAAAAGAUUUAUCGCUUGAGGAUGAGGCUGCGCGCCAUCAGCUAGUUGGUGAGGUAAUGGCUUACCAAGGCGACGACGGCUAGGGGACCUGAGAGGGUGACCCCCCACACUGGGACUGAGACACGGCCCAGACUCCUACGGGAGGCAGCAGUGAGGAAUUUUGGACAAUGGGCGCAAGCCUGAUCCAGCCAUGCCGCGU